ACGGGGUGCAGCAGGCGCGAAACCUNUACAAUGCACGAAAGUGUGAUAGGGGGACUCCAAGUGACCACUUCCGUGGUCUUUUGUGAAGCGUAAAUAACUUCAUGAAUAAGGGCUGGGCAAGACCCGUGCCAGCCGCCGCGGUAAUACGGGCAGCUCAAGUAGUGUUCACGAAUAUUUGGCCUAAAGCGUCCGUAGCCGGCCACGUCAGUCUCUGGUGAAAUCCUGCAGCUCAACUGUGGGGCUUGCCAGGGAAACAGCGUGGCUUGGAGUCGGGAGGGGUCGGAGGAAUUCCUGGGGUAGGAGUAAAAUCCUGUAAUCCUUGGAGGACCAUCAGUGGCGAAGGCGUCCGACUGGAACGAGCUCGACGGUGAGGGACGAAAGCCAGGGGAGCGACCCGGAUUAGAUACCCGGUUAGUCCUGGCCGUAAAUGAUGCUGGUUUGGUGUCGCAUAACUCACGAGGUUAUGCAGUGCCGUAGGGAAGCCGUUUAACCAGCCGCCUGGG
This 503-nucleotide ribosomal RNA is filed under the name uncultured archaeon. RNAcentral describes it as "bacterial SSU rRNA". It matches the Rfam family "Archaeal small subunit ribosomal RNA", at positions 325 to 832 of the family's 1478-position model. The record is from RNAcentral.